UGGGAAGACUGAUGAAAAAUAACUUAAUGAAGUUUCUAUCUGUAUUGACUAACGUAAGGAAAUGCCUCAAUGACAAGUCAGUGGAAGAAGGUGGUAAAACAGGGAUUUACAACAUCUAUUAGAGGCUACCACCAACCAUUGUUAGAUCAUUCUGGAUAGCAGUUUAUGUGUCUUUAAGUGCUAGUUACUCAUAAGGAGUUCUGUAACAAAGAUCUGUUUCCUAGUGAAUAAGAUAAACAAUUAAUUAAUUCUUUCCUUAAUAAAAAAAUAAAUGCCUAUUUUUCUCUCCAGAAGUCGAGAAUCUUGUUUUCUUUGGAGUGAAACUAUUCCUUUCACCUGUGUGAUGGCAUGAAAGAGUUUUCAUCUGAGGCAAAUGAAAAAUAUUCCACCGCCUUCCCACCAACCUCCAGUACCAGCUCUGUAAAGAACAAAAGGAAUGAGGCUGGAGAGAAACCAUCCUGAAAAGGCUUCCAGCUGCAGUCCCAGCAAGCCUGAUCCACCUUGCCCAGGAGCUUGGACUGCUGUUGAAACUGCUGUUGAAACUGAAGACCAGCCAAACUCAAGAAAAUGGAAGAAGCUCCGGGCUUGCAAAAGAAAAAAAAUCAACAAGGAGUCUACUCCUCGUCCCUGAACAAGUGUAGCUGCUUUCUGAGUGAUGUAGAUUGGCAUACUUGUAGAAGGGUGGUCCUUCAUUCUCUGCAUAACCAGCUUAUAAAACAGCAGGCAUAGCUGAGGGCAGGAAAUCAA
This 747-nucleotide long non-coding RNA is filed under the name Zonotrichia albicollis (white-throated sparrow). RNAcentral describes it as "lncRNA (ENSZALG00000007556.1)". Lineage: Eukaryota; Metazoa; Chordata; Aves; Passeriformes; Passerellidae. The record is from RNAcentral.